Molecule: long non-coding RNA, 1842 nt
Organism: Astatotilapia calliptera (eastern happy)
Lineage: Eukaryota; Metazoa; Chordata; Actinopteri; Cichliformes; Cichlidae
Source: Ensembl
UUUUAUUGCUUUAGUUUUUUAUUUUCUUUGUUAGACAAGCAAACAACAAAAAACCCACAAAGGACACAAACCAACCAAACACCAGUGAUCUCAAACACAAGCUGACUUUAAGGCCGACGCCAACAGGAAGCAAACUCAGAUCCUGACAUGCUCAAACAGAUUUAUACAAAAGGCAGAGACACAAGACGGCAGAAAGAUUUUCACUUAGAUUAACUUGUAAAAUAAAAAGUCUAAUCUGGAGUUGCUGAACUAAAGCAACAUUUCAUGUUUUUCUCUGGUUUUCUUUGUUUUGUUCGUUUGUUCACUUUUUUCCAGGAAUCCAAUUCUGGUCUUUAUUUGAUCCAAAAAAUGUUUGUGCUUGAAUAUUGAGGUGAAAUUAAACAGCUAGUUAUAUAAAACCAGCACGAAACAAAAAGUUAAAGAAAGAAAUGUUCACAAAACAAAUGUAGAGAUUAAAGAGAGCCUCAUUUUGAGUGUAUGGAUUUAUCCAUGAAUCACUCGUUGAGUAAACUGACAUGCUGCUCAGUUUUUUUUUUUUUAAACUCAAGCAUGUCAAUUAUAUUAAAUCAAAGUAAAAAUUCAACAGUCUCAAGGUUGAAGAAGUUUGGCUGUACCAAAAAUAAACCUGCAAAUGCUUUCUGAUGUUUGUUGUGGUUUCCAUAUUCAGCAGUUUAUGAAGAAUCAGUCAAAGGUUGGAAAAUCAAAGAAGUAUUUAAAAGUGUCUCUGUUACAUUAAAGAAAAAAAAAAAAGAGGUUGUCUAGUCUCCAGUGACUUUGACUUAAUUUCAGGCAGCAACAAGCAGCUCAUGCAAAUAAUUCAACAACAAUCAGGCGCCAUUAUUUUAAAUAUGUGUCCCCUUUUUCUGAACGUCGAGGGAUCAAAACCAGUUUUUAUAUUCUGACAGCCCCACAGUGCAUCCACAGUUGGUAGGACAAGGCAGAAAAAGCUUUGCCUGUAACACAGCAGGAAAUGAAUUGUGCUCAUGAGUCAUCAUCUUACAGAGAAACACAGGAGACACCAACCAGCUUAAAGGGGCAGUUCAAACAAACUCACAGGUUCUUCCUCCGGCCUGCACUGAUAUCCAUCCACCUUUAUCAGUUUGGUCUCAGACAUGCCUACAGCUGCUUAUUACUGCAAAGUAACAGGCUGAUAAAACACGAGCAUGUCAAUGACUGUAACCACAGACCUGAUGGAUGAUCUGCAUCACAAAAAGGCUCAAAAAACAGUGUGAACACAGAGAAAUGAUCCAAAUUAGCUGAGCUGUAGACAGACAACGGUCAGCUACAGCUUCCCAAGGUGGACAAUUCGAAUUUCAAGCCACAAUCAAAUCUAAACAGACAUAAAGGAAAAGUGAACCCACUGUACAGUUCUUAUGAAGGAUGAAAACAGCCACAGAGGGCAGAACCAUUUCUGCAGCAGGCUGCUAACAUGUUUAUUUCUGCUAUGAUGCUGUGGACCGAAAGGAAACUGGCCAUGUGACUAAAACAUGGCUGGUGGAUAAAGAGCACCGCAGGCCACAGUAAAAUGUGCACAUUGUGGAUUUGAACCACCCGUUAAAUUCAGCAUUGUGUGAUGAAAUCCAUCUGAAGGGUUUCCCUCUGAAAGCAGCCGUUCUCACAUUUUUUCUAAAGUCCUGUUUUUGACACUGAACUUUUCAGCUGAAUGAAUCAAAAUAUACACAUGCAGCCGAGUGUUGCUCAUAUAUACAGACGUGACCGUGUAUGAAGGAACUCUGAACCAUCUACAGCGUUUUCUAAUUGGUUCUGCCAUUAUUUCACAGCCCUGAGGAGUUUUUAUGACCUGAGAAGCUCAUUUUCAUCCGGACACACACACAAACCGUC